This 656-nucleotide long non-coding RNA is filed under the name Helianthus annuus (common sunflower). RNAcentral describes it as "hypothetical non coding rna". The record is from RNAcentral. Lineage: Eukaryota; Viridiplantae; Streptophyta; Magnoliopsida; Asterales; Asteraceae.
CGUGGCGACGGGCAAGCACUCCGGCGAACCAUGCUGCAUGCUUCACACCCCGGCGACCUCUGUGGCGAACGGUGGUUGCGCGCCAAUCGGAGUAGCAUGUCGGUGGCGGAGCUUGUUCACCGGGCACGUGGUGUAAGGCACUCGCGCGGCAGCGGAGUGUGACUUGCAAUCGGGGGUGCACUCGCGCGGCGGCGGAGUGGGACAAGCAGGGGGGUGCACUCGCGCACGGCGGGAUUGGACCAGCAAGCGGGGGGUGCACUCGCGCGCGGCAGGGUUGGACCAGCGCGGCGGGGUUGGACCAGCGCGGCGGGGUUGGACCAGCAGGCGGGGGUGCACUCGCGUGCGACGGGGUUGGAUCACCAGGCCAAGGUGCACUCGCGUGCGGCGGGGCUGGACCAGCGGGCGAAGGUGCACUCGCGUGCGGCGGGGAUGGACCAGCAGGCGGGGGUGCACUCGCGCGCGGCGGGGCUGGACCAGCAGGCGGGGGUGCACUCGCGCGCGGCUGGGCGGGACCAGCAGGCGGGGGUGCACUCACGCGCGGCGGGGUUGUUCUAUCAUACACAAAUCUGACUCGCGCGGCAGAGACCCUGACACGCAUGUACAACUUAUCCUGCCAUGCGCGGGUGACGUGGUAGGUGUCGGUCGUGUGCCGGCUG